AUAUCAAUAAGCGGAGGAAAAGAAACUAACAAGGAUUCCCCUAGUAACUGCGAGUGAAGCGGGAAAAGCUCAAAUUUAAAAUCUGAUGGUCUUUGGCCGUCCGAGUUGUAAUUUAGAGAAGCGUUUUCCGCGCUGGACCGUGCACAAGUCUCCUGGAAUGGAGCGUCAUAGAGGGUGAGAAUCCCGUCUUUGGCACGGAUACCCCAGGGCUUUUGUGAUGCGCUCUCGAAGAGUCGAGUUGUUUGGGAAUGCAGCUCAAAAUGGGUGGUGAACUCCAUCUAAAGCUAAAUAUUGGCGAGAGACCGAUAGCGAACAAGUACCGUGAGGGAAAGAUGAAAAGCACUUUGGAAAGAGAGUGAAACAGUACGUGAAAUUGUUGAAAGGGAAACGCUUGGAGUCAGUCGCGUCGGCCGAGACUCAGCCUCGCCCUCGGCUUGGUGUACUUCUCGGCUGACGGGCCAGCAUCAAUUUUGCCCCUCGGAUAAUGGCAGGGGAAAGGUGGCACCUUUGCGGGUGUGUUAUAGUCUCCCGUCGCAUGCGAGGGGUGGGAUUGAGGAACUCAGCACGCGCCUCUCGGCUCGGGGCUUCGGCCCACGUUACGUGCUUAGGAUGUUGGCGUAAUGGCUCUAAACGA
This 634-nucleotide ribosomal RNA is filed under the name uncultured fungus. RNAcentral describes it as "eukaryotic LSU rRNA". It matches the Rfam family "Eukaryotic large subunit ribosomal RNA", at positions 40 to 647 of the family's 3401-position model. The record is from RNAcentral. Lineage: Eukaryota; Fungi.